AUGAGUUUAUUUGAUGAUAAUCCCACUAUUUUGGAAGAGUGUCAACUUUGCAUGCAUGAGGAUCGUGUAGAGAAUAUGUUAUGUGAUAGCUAUAUUGUUGAAUUUGAAUAUGAUCCGAGAUGCAAUUAUUAUGAGAGAGGAAAAUAUGGUUGUAGAAAUUUUCAUGUUACUAAAUUACCUCUCUUCAUGUUGAGAUUGCUAUUGUUUCUUUCUUUUUCCUUGCAUAUACUAGUUUUUGCUUGCUUUGAUAAUUUGUUUUCUUAUAAAAUGCCUAUGCAUAGGAAGUAUGUUAGACUUAAAUAUGUUUGUCACAUGUUUUAUGAUGCUCUAUUUGUGUUUCAAUUAUUAUCUUUCAUGUGA
This 360-nucleotide ribosomal RNA is filed under the name Triticum aestivum (bread wheat). RNAcentral's name for it is "partial small subunit ribosomal RNA". Lineage: Eukaryota; Viridiplantae; Streptophyta; Magnoliopsida; Poales; Poaceae. The record is from RNAcentral.